GAUGAACGCUAGCGGGAGGCUUAACACAUGCAAGUCGAGGGGCAUCACGGGGUAGCAAUACUCUGGUGGCGACCGGCGCACGGGUGAGUAACACGUAUGCAACCUGCCUCGUACAGGGGGAUAACCCGGAGAAAUUCGGACUAAUAUCCCAUAAUGAUAUUGAAAGGCAUCUUUUAAUAUUUAAAGCUCAGGCGGUACGGGAUGGGCAUGCGGAACAUUAGCUGGUUGGCAGGGUAACGGCCUACCAAGGCUAUGAUGUUUAGGGGACCUGAGAGGGUUAUCCCCCACACUGGUACUGAGACACGGACCAGACUCCUACGGGAGGCAGCAGUGAGGAAUAUUGGUCAAUGGGCGCAAGCCUGAACCAGCCAUCCCGCGUGAAGGAAGAAGGCGCUAUGCGUUGUAAACUUCUUUUCCAGGGGGAGAAUUAUCCCGAUGUAUCGGGAUUUGACGGUACUCUGGGAAUAAGCAUCGGCUAACUCCGUG
Molecule: ribosomal RNA, 486 nt
Filed under: uncultured bacterium
Lineage: Bacteria
Description: bacterial SSU rRNA
Rfam family: Bacterial small subunit ribosomal RNA
Source: RNAcentral